AGUGAACGCUGGCGGUAGGCCUAACACAUGCAAGUCGAACGGCAGCACAGUAAGAGCUUGCUCUUACGGGUGGCGAGUGGCGGACGGGUGAGGAAUACAUCGGAAUCUACUUUUUCGUGGGGGAUAACGUAGGGAAACUUACGCUAAUACCGCAUACGACCUACGGGUGAAAGCAGGGGAUCUUCGGACCUUGCGCGAUUGAAUGAGCCGAUGUCGGAUUAGCUAGUUGGCGGGGUAAAGGCCCACCCAGGCGACGAUCCGUAGCUGGUCUGAGAGGAUGAUCGGCCACACUGGAACUGAGACACGGUCCAGACUCCUACGGGAGGCAGCAGUGGGGAAUAUUGGACAAUGGGCGCAAGCCUGAUCCAGCCAUACCGCGUGGGUGAAGAAGGCCUUCGGGUUGUAAAGCCCUUUUGUUGGGAAAGAAAAGCAGCAGGUUAAUACCCCGCUGUUCUGACGGUACCCAAAGAAUAAGCACCGGCUAACUUCGUG
RNAcentral lists this ribosomal RNA (492 nucleotides) under uncultured bacterium. Its description in RNAcentral is "partial 16S ribosomal RNA". It matches the Rfam family "Bacterial small subunit ribosomal RNA", at positions 29 to 507 of the family's 1533-position model. The record is from RNAcentral.